Molecule: long non-coding RNA, 1025 nt
Filed under: Homo sapiens (human)
Lineage: Eukaryota; Metazoa; Chordata; Mammalia; Primates; Hominidae
Description: novel transcript
Source: RNAcentral
GGUAGCCAUCUUCGUGCAUAGGCAAACUUAUUGUAGCUAGACUGUACAAAGUAUAUCAAGAUAUGCCAAAUAUUGAGCUUAACUUCACCUGUUUGAGAGACGGUGCACAUCAUGGAGACAAUCUGACUGGUACAGAGAAAUGAAGAGACAACAUUUUCUUUCCAAAUCUGAGUGGAGAUACUCAGAGUUUCUUCUCAAAUGUACACUGAUAAAUACUCAACUGAAGAUUCAACUGAAAUCCUCUAUGGGUCUCCAGACUCCCCCAUUCUGGAACUCUUCCCUGCAAAUUCCAGCUGCCUAAACUCCCUUCCAUCUCUCAGUUUCUCUAUAACUGAGGAACACCGUCAGGCUCCAGCUGGAUUUUCCUUCCUUGUGCACUGAUCUGGAAAGUCUUUCACAUCAGAUAGAAGAGGCCCUGGUUAGCAGCUUCAGAUGAUGGAUACAUAAAAAUGGGAGAGAGAAAACAUAUAAGAGUGACUAAUUGUUGAGUUUCCAGGGCUCAAACCAAUCUUGAAUUGGAAUUUCAAGACAUAAAAACCACUGCAGGAACCUGCUGGAGAAACGGCCUCUGGUAUCUCUAUCUGAAAUAUGAUUAUCUUAAGUUCGCAAAGCAUUGUGUCUGCAGUGUGAGUUUGAAAACAACAAUGUUAAGGCAACUUCGCAGCUUCUUAAUCAAGCCCUUCUCCAUCUCUCCGUGUGGUUUUUGGGGUGGUGGAGGUGGAGCCAAAAAAGAGAGGGCAGUUUCCCAGGGCUGAAGAUGCUACCAUGACUCAUAGGAUCUAUGCAAACCCUGUGAGUGAAUUCUGAGGAAGAAGAAUGAGUAAUAUUUUGAUUUUAUUACUGAUGGUAAUAAGAUAGUAUCAUCAGUGUGGUAUAUUCUGAUUACUGAAUUCUAUUCCCUAUUUUCUUCCUGUGGCCAAAUAAAAUUUGUGUGUGUAAGCUAUGAUAUUUAGUGUUGUUAUCUGAUGAGACAGGUUUAGUGGAAAAGUUCAUUUUAAAUAAACAUUAAAAUUGUUUCAGCCUCA